UACGUAGGGCGCAAGCGUUAUCCGGAAUUAUUGGGCGUAAAGAGCUCGUAGGCGGUUCGUCGCGUCUGCCGUGAAAGUCCGGGGCUUAACCCCGGAUCUGCGGUGGGUACGGGCAGACUAGAGUGCAGUAGGGGAGACUGGAAUUCCUGGUGUAGCGGUGAAAUGCGCAGAUAUCAGGAGGAACACCGAUGGCGAAGGCAGGUCUCUGGGCUGUAACUGACGCUGAGGAGCGAAAGCAUGGGGAGCGAACAGG
Molecule: ribosomal RNA, 253 nt
Filed under: uncultured bacterium
Lineage: Bacteria
Description: partial 16S ribosomal RNA
Rfam family: Bacterial small subunit ribosomal RNA
Source: RNAcentral